GACGAACGCUGGCGGCGUGCCUAACACAUGCAUAGUCGAACGGGAUCCAUGCCAUGAAGUUUUCGGAUGGAUUGGUGUGGUGAGAGUGGCGAACGGGCGAGUAACGCGUGAGCAACCUACCUCGUACUGGGGGAUAACGUCGGGAAACCGGCGCUAAUACCGCAUAAGACUACGAUGUCGCAUGGCGUUGUAGUCAAAGCUCCGGCGGUACGAGACGGGCUCGCGUCCGAUUAGCUAGUUGGUAGGGUAACGGCCUACCAAGGCGACGAUCGGUAGCCGGACUGAGAGGUCGGCCGGCCGCAUUGGGACUGAGACACCGGCCCAGACUCCUACGGGAGGCAGCAGUGGGGAAUAUUGCGCAAUGGGGGAAACCCCUGACGCAGCGACGCCGCGUGAAGGAAGAAGGCCUUCGGGUUGUAAACCUUCUUUGGCAGGGGACGAAGAAAGACGGUACCCCUGAGAACAAGCCCACGGCUACCUACGUGCCCAGCAGCCGCGGUAAUACGUAGGUGGCGAGCGUUGUCCGGAAUUACUGGGCGUAAAGGGCGUGUAGGCGGGGGGACAAGUCAGAUGUGAAAUACCGCAGCUUAACUGCGGGGCUGCAUCUGAAACUGUUCUUCUUGAGUGUCGGAGAGGAAAGUGGAAUUCCCAGUGUAGCGGUGAAAUGCGUAGAGAUUGGGAGGAACACCAGUGGCGAAGGCGGCUUUCUGGACGACAACUGACGCUGAGGCGCGAAAGCGUGGGGAGCAAACAGGAUUAGAUACCCUGGUAGUCCACGCUGUAAACGAUGGAUACUAGGUGUAGGAGGUAUCGACCCCUUCUGUGCCGGAGUUAACACAAUAAGUAUCCCGCCUGGGGAGUACGGCCGCAAGGUUGAAACUCAAAGGAAUUGACGGGGGCCCGCACAAGCAGUGGAGCAUGUGGUUUAAUUCGAAGCAACGCGAAGAACCUUACCAGGGCUUGACAUCCCUCUGACCGGUGUAGAGAUACACCUUCCCUUCGGGGGCCAGGGGGGAAGAACAGGGUGGGUGGCAUGGUUGUCGUCAGCUCGUGUCGUGAGAUGUUGGGUUAAGUCCCGCAACGAGCGCAACCCUUGUCGUUAGUUGCCAGCACUUUGGGUGGGCACUCUAACGAGACUGCCGGCGACAAGUCGGAGGAAGGUGGGGAUGACGUCAAAUCAUCAUGCCCCUUAUGUCCUGGGCUACACACGCGCUACAAUGGCGACUACAGAGGGAAGCAAAGCCGCGAGGUGGAGCAAAUCCCCAAAAGUCGUCCCAGUUCGGAUUGCAGGCUGCAACUCGCCUGCAUGAAGUCGGAAUUGCUAGUAAUGGCAGGUCAGCACACUGCCGUGAAUACGUUCCCGGGCCUUGUACACACCGCCCGUCACACCAUGAGAGCUGACAACACCCGAAGUCGGUAGCCUAACCGCGAGGGGGCGCCGCCGAAGGUGGGUUGGUGAUGGG
This 1463-nucleotide ribosomal RNA is filed under the name uncultured bacterium. RNAcentral's name for it is "16S ribosomal RNA". It matches the Rfam family "Bacterial small subunit ribosomal RNA". The record is from RNAcentral.